RNAcentral lists this ribosomal RNA (253 nucleotides) under uncultured bacterium. RNAcentral describes it as "partial 16S ribosomal RNA". It matches the Rfam family "Bacterial small subunit ribosomal RNA", at positions 524 to 776 of the family's 1533-position model. The record is from RNAcentral.
GACAGAGGGUGCAAACGUUGCUCGGAAUUACUGGGCGUAAAGCGCGUGUAGGCGGGACGAUAAGUCAGGUGUGAAAUCCCUAGGCUCAACCUAGGAACUGCACUUGAAACUGUCGGCCUUGAGUGAUGGAGAGGAUGGCGGAAUUCCUGGUGUAGAGGUGAAAUUCGUAGAUAUCAGGAGGAACACCGGUGGCGAAGGCGGCCAUCUGGAAAUCUACUGACGCUGAGACGCGAAAGCGUGGGGAGCAAACAGG